Molecule: long non-coding RNA, 1362 nt
Filed under: Sus scrofa (pig)
Lineage: Eukaryota; Metazoa; Chordata; Mammalia; Artiodactyla; Suidae
Description: lncRNA (ENSSSCG00065004225.1)
Source: RNAcentral
CUAAAUCCUUAGCUCAAUCACUUUUUUUUUCUGAUGUAAUUUAGCAGAAUUUCUGGAUUCAUUUUGUCAUAGUUUGCUUUCUCUCCCCUAGCUCACACCUUGGUAUUCUUAUUCUCUGAGGAAUCACUCUCCAAGGCUGAAUCAUUCGUCAGACUCAAUUCCAUGUGCCCUGAUUCCCACAGACAGAAAACAAACAAUUUGAAACACUGGACUUUAAGGCAGAGAAACGUUUAUUGCAAAGGCCAUGCAAUGGGUGGCUCAUGAUCAAAAGACCUGAAAUCACCAGUGGGUGUCAGGGAAGAAGUUUUUAUAGGCAAAAUAUGGGGAGAGGGUUGUAGAGUGUGUAAUCCUUCUCUGACUGGUUGGUGGUGAGGUAACAGAUAAGUGUUCCAGGAAUCUCAAUCAUCAGCCUUCUGGGUCCAACCAAUUUAGCAUCUAUGGUCUUUUUUUAAGAUCAGCCCAAAGUUACCAUGUGCCACCUGGGUGAUGGCCUUAGUUCUUGGAGAGGAACUCAAAGAUAUGUAUCAAAUUGCUGUGUGCAUCCCCUGAGGAGGAACCAGGACCAAGCCCUAUCACUUUACUAUUGUUUAUUUCUGCAUUCCCUCACUCAUUUAUAUUUGUAUUGAUGACAGAGAGAGGAAUUCAUAGAAUAAAAGUGUCUUACUAAAAAAAAUUAUGCUUAGGUCUUAAACCAUAUAUUAGAGGAUCAUGUGUGUCUAAUGGAUUGAGGAUUUUUUUUCUUAAAUGUUCUUUUGUUUACUUCUUACUUCUUACAGAGUUAAAGCUGCCCAAAUCAAUUAAACAUGAGGAAUUUAAGUUUGCAACUAGUGGUAGCCACUGUCAGCAUCAUGUGGACUUGGCAUUCCAGGGUUACUGGGAAAGUGAGUGGAGGACGUUCCCAGAUCUGAGCUAUGAGAACAUCAGCAAUCACAUGUCACAUCCUGAACACCGAAGGCUCUGUCUUGUGGAGAGAAACUUCCAUUAUUUGUGGAUGGAGGAACAGGUAACUCUGAUUAUUAAAUAUAUAUAUAUAUAUAUAUAUAUAUAAUAUUUUGUCUUUUUGUUAGGGCCACACUUAGGGCAUAUGGAAGUUCCUAGGGUAAGGGCUGAAUUGGAGCUGUAGCUACAGGCCUAUGCCACACCAACAGCAAAGCGGGAUCCGACGAGUUUCUGAGACCUACCCCACAGCAACACCAGAUUCUUUAAUCCACUGAGCAAGGCCAGGGAUCGAACCCAUGUCCUCAUGAAUGCUAGUCAGAUUCGUUUCUGCUGCACCACAAUGGGAACUCCCUGAUUAUGAUAUUACUUAACAAAAUACUAGGGAACAAUAAACUCUAACAGUUAUAAUUUAGUUCCUGGUCA